ACACUUAACCUGGUAGGGGAGAUACCAUGAUCACAAAGGUGUUUUUCCCAGGGUGAGGCUUAUCUGUUGCAGACCCCUUUGAUUUCCCCAGAUGUGGGAAACUACUGCAUAGUUUGUAGUACAGGGGACUGCCUUCAGACUUUGCCCUU
Molecule: small nuclear RNA, 149 nt
Organism: Nannospalax galili (Upper Galilee mountains blind mole rat)
Lineage: Eukaryota; Metazoa; Chordata; Mammalia; Rodentia; Spalacidae
Gene: U1
Rfam family: U1 spliceosomal RNA
About the family: U1 is a small nuclear RNA (snRNA) component of the spliceosome (involved in pre-mRNA splicing). Its 5' end forms complementary base pairs with the 5' splice junction, thus defining the 5' donor site of an intron.
Source: Ensembl